AGUGGCUUAGAUUGUAAAGAAUCUGCCUGUGAUGCAGGAGACCCAGGUUCCAUCCCUGGCU
This 61-nucleotide transfer RNA is filed under the name Bos taurus (domestic cattle). It matches the Rfam family "tRNA", at positions 6 to 65 of the family's 71-position model. From Rfam's summary of the family: Transfer RNA (tRNA) molecules are approximately 80 nucleotides in length. Their secondary structure includes four short double-helical elements and three loops (D, anti-codon, and T loops). Further hydrogen bonds mediate the characteristic L-shaped molecular structure. tRNAs have two regions of fundamental functional importance: the anti-codon, which is responsible for specific mRNA codon recognition, and the 3' end, to which the tRNAs corresponding amino acid is attached (by aminoacyl-tRNA synthetases). tRNAs cope with the degeneracy of the genetic code in two manners: having more than one tRNA (with a specific anti-codon) for a particular amino acid; and 'wobble' base-pairing, i.e. permitting non-standard base-pairing at the 3rd anti-codon position. Lineage: Eukaryota; Metazoa; Chordata; Mammalia; Artiodactyla; Bovidae. The record is from Rfam by way of RNAcentral. RNAcentral also lists the same sequence under 4 other names.